Neogale vison (American mink) is the source of this 500-nucleotide long non-coding RNA. RefSeq lists it as uncharacterized. NCBI's taxonomy places the organism in Eukaryota, Metazoa, Chordata, Mammalia, Carnivora, Mustelidae. The record is from RefSeq and is a predicted model, not a curated record. The transcript is spliced from 4 exons.
CUCAGCCUCCAUAAUCACAUCCUGAAGAAUCCAGAUGGUCCUGGAUCUCAUCAUCUGAUUUGGAUGUUCCUUCACCAUGACCCUAGCCCCCCAGAGCAUUUCUGUUUCAUAGAAUUUAUUUCUAUGUACUAUGAUGAUUGAUUUAUUGCCAUAUAUCCCUCCAGGCUCCUUGAAAACCUGGGAAAUGAUAAUAGUGAUGCAAAAGACACAGCAGCUAAGAAAGCAGAGCUCAUCAAAUUUCUGGUGACAGUACAUUUCAAGCAGAAGAAUCAAGGGACCGAAUGAAGGCAAGCAGAGCUCCGUUAUGAGACGGUGAAAAGUACACAGUGAGAAGAUGAAAGGAUCCUCCUGGCACGGACUGAGUUCUUUUAAUCCCCCAAUGCCUCGCUCAUGGAAUAAAGGAGGAACUUAAUGCAUAUCCGGUGGAUGAACAAAUGAAAGGGCAGGUGGUAGCACAAUAGUUGGGGAACACGCAAAGUCCCUCCUUUCUAAGGUUCUAA